CGGGGUUGCCCCGCCCCCCUUCUCUCCCACAAGGCCACCGCCACAACAUCUCGGGUCUCCGCCUGGAGGCGCAGCAGUAAGCGGCCGAAUAGAGGAGCCGCCUGCGGGCGACCGGCGACGAGGUUAGGUAUGUCAUCGGUUGCAUUUUUCCCCUGCAUUAGCAUCAGCCUCUUCGUACCUCAGGUGCUAACUCGCUCAUUCUAAAGUCGUAGUGGCUCCAACUCGAGAAAUGCUCAGAGGAUUUGGUAGUAGGAGCACGAAUUUUAAUCUAAUCCAGCAGCAUUGCAAGAGGGAAUGAGGGAUUGUGGGUAAUGGAACUGCGGAGUUCUUAAGCAGACCACUUAUUUUGGAUUUGGUCUGGAAUGAGGGAUUCGGGGUAAUGUGCGAGUGCCAAUUAACAGAUCACCGAGUUCUCACAUGGAAGUAGAAGCUCCCUGUUUGAAAAUCACUUGAACAAAAAUACCAAAGUUCGCACAAUUUUUUUUAUACCCCUCAUCCAAAUAACAAGCAAGAUCGCAAAAUGGAAACAAAAUGACUGGAUUUCUGUUUAUCUACAACCAAUCAUCACAAGUUGAGCAAACUACCAAACUUUAUCUAAGCAGACGCAACAAUAACUCGGUGGCCAUUUUCCUUUCACCGUCCAGAUAAGGGGAUCAGUUGUGUCAUCCGACUGGUAUAGCCAGACUGGAAGGAGCUGGAGCUCUCCUCGUUGACCUCUCCAGAAAUCAACAGCUGGAACUGCUUUCGCAUUUCAUCAUUCAUGGACUUCGUGGAGGACGGGGAAGCAUACUGUUUCUGGCUUGGAGUCGUUGGCAACAACACUUUUAGCCUUGACACAACCUCGGUCAUGCUCGGCCUGUCGAUGGCUGCACUCUCCACGCAGUUCAUGGCAAGGUCCACCACGCUCUGCAGGGAAUUGGCGUCGUACUGAUCCAACAGCCUCUUGUCCACGAUAUCUUGAAUACUGCCUUUUGCAAUCUUUUGGCGUACCCAGUUUGGUAGGUGGUAGGUGUGAGGGUCCAUCAAUACCGGGGGCUUGCCAGUGAUGAUCUCCAAGAGCACGAUGCCGAAGCUGUAAACGUCUGUCUUGAUGGUGAGCUGGAAAGUUGCAUGGUACUCAGGGUCGAGGUAGCCGAGAGUGCCAGCAGCAACUGUAGAUAUAUGUGUGUGCGCAUCAUUGAAAGCCCGCGAAAGCCCAAAAUCAGCUAUUAUCCCCACCAGGUUCUUGUCCAGAAGGAUGUUGGCUGUCUUGACAUCUCUGUGAACUAUUGAUGGGGUGCAUGACUCAUGUAGAUAUUCCAGUCCUGUAGUUUAAUUUGUCAACAGAUGCAUACAUACAUACAUCACCUAAAAGAAAGCAUGUAAAUGAAAUGCGAACCUUGUGCCGAAUCAAGUGCAAUAUGAAGUCGCUGUUCCCAAGUCAAAUUGUAGUCAUCUCCUGCAUCAAGACGUACCAAAGUUAAUGCAAGUGCCACAAGAUACAUGCAUGGUAGCAUACAUGCUAGCUUUAUAAUUUUUGCACAUUUAACUUCAGAUUGAUGUUUAAACCACAAUGAUCAAGCAUGUUAUCAAUUGGUCUAUUAUGGUCUAAACCCGGCAUAAAUAGGCACUUGAUCUUUGAGAGGUCACUGCUUUUGGUUCUCUUUAAUAAAUAUUAUGGUCCAUUGAAGUAUUCUUUGAAUAUGUACCUCUGUCGUUGCUUUGUUUCUUACUGAUUUUAAAUAUCUAACUAUCGAGUCAUAAUUAUGACUGAGUAGAGGUAUGUAACUGUGGUGCCCCAAUUUGUUAGCCAAGUAUCUAUGACUAUACCAUGCUUAUGAAUUUGGCAAUGGACAAUACUAAGAAAAAUUUCCAAAAAGGAAAAGCUCCAAGAAGAACUAGGUCCACCAACUCAAGUGUAUUGAUUAGCAGCAGCAAUAACAGUCUAUGCAAUCAACUAAACCUUUGACAAGGAAAUCAGGUUUAUUAAAAAAAACUCGUUUUUUUUAUUAUGCUAGGUCCUGCCAAUUUUUAUAUUAUGCUACAACGCACAAUAUAAAGUUUGGCGGGUAGGUAGUUUCCAAGUGGUUAAUGAAAGCUAUUGGCAUGUCGGUCCCUGUGUAGUUAUUGAUUUUGAAUGAAGUAAAACAUUACCUAAGUAAACUAUGUUUGAUAGAAAAUUUCAAAUAGUGGAGGGAAAACCUUCUCUUAAAAGCUGUUGAAGAUUUCCUCUGGGCAUGAAGUCAUAAACGAGGGCUAGGCACUUCGUGUUCUGGCAAUAUCCUUGUAGAGUCACGAGAUUCUUGUGAUGAACUUUGGACAAGGUUUGCACCUGCAGCAACAGAUAUAGUUACCAAUCAUCCUAGAGCUGAAGACAAUUGCAUCAUUUCAUUGGAUAUGGACUCUGAAAAGGGUUGAUAUCUUGCACACUUAUAGUUUACUUUCUAUUGAAGAAAUUAUUGAUUUGACCUAGUUGGUUUUGUGGUAUACCUCAGGGAGGAAAUCUGUUGACUCCGCUAUUGAUGUCUCCAUAAGCACCUUAACAGCUACUUCAUCACCAUUUUCCAUUGUGCCAUGGUAAACAGUACCAAAACCUCCUUUUCCAACGAUUUGUUUGAAGUCGUUUGUUAUGUGUUUCAGGUCUGCGUACGUGAACCGUCUGAUAUCAAUAUGUAGGGGUGUUUCCUCUUCAUACAUAGCAUAAUCCUCAUUGUCUCCUGACUUCCCUGCAGAAUCAUAAAGUAGUGUGUUACAUGAAAGUUUUGGGUGAAGCUGCUGUUUAAUGUCUACCACCUAUUCCAUUGAUGAAAGAGAGUUUAAGAGCGGAAAAUUUUAUUUUACCUUUCCAGCACAGUUUCCAGAGUAUGCACAUCACUACUAGGAGGGAUACCAGUACUACAGGAACUAUCACUGCGAUGAGCAUGGUAGAUUUGGUGUUCUUCUUAUUUGAACAGUACGUAUCUUUGACUUUUGAGCAUACGGGAUUGCCUUCUAACCUAGUGGCACCAUUACACAACAUAUAGGAAAAAAUGAAUUAGUACGAUGUUAGCUACAACAGCUCUACAAAAUUAUGAUUAGAAGAUGCCUCCAUGUUCUAACACGACUAACAUGGUAGACAUGUACGCACUCUGAACGAAUAAACUUCAUGGUUUCUCAUAUAUGCACUCUAAAAGAAUAAACUUCAUGGUUUGUAAAUCAUGUGCAGUUACUAAGGUCCUUAUCUAUUUCUCAUCUUGAGUGCCCAUAGACAAUAAAGCUUUUAUAGUUACUAGAUGCUAGUACAUGUAACUGAGGGCAUGCUUGAAUCAAUGUAAUGCUCUGCAAACGUGUUGCUUCACACACUUCUUGUGGCACCUGAAUUGGCCAUCACAACUUCGUCAAAUUCGAUAACUGUUCACAUGUACCACAAGUGGUGCUGCUGCGGCAUUUAUUUUUUUUUGGGAAAGGAGGAUUACCCCCGGCCUCUGCAUCAAGCGAUGCACACAGCCAUGGUGCUGCUGCAGCAUGACGUUAGAAAAGUGUGGCACGACACAAAAUAUAACACCAACUAAACUGUGGCCAUAUAAAGUCAAACUUGUGUAACUCUUGUUUCGUGAAGUGUGGCGUAUUUACAUUGUAUUUUCAAAGGCUGUUGCUAAACCUUGAUUCUUCUAUGAAGCUCAACCCUGUUCCUUUUGAGUGUAGUUGUUUAAUUUGAUCUAUUUUUUCUGUAGUCAGAAAUUGCGAAACAUUCAGUUAAAAGAAAAGGAAUUGUGCAACAGAGCUUGCAAACCUUAAGUCAAGCAGACCGGCCUGAGAUCUUUGAAGAAUAGAAUUAGGGAUUGGUCCAUCGAGCUGGUUAUAUGACAAAUCGCUGUAAAAUGAAGUUAAAAUUAUUCUCUAAAUUUUAUAUCAUCAACCAAAUAUUAUAUUAAGGAGAGACUUACAGAACUUUAAGUGACUUUAUUUGGUAGUCUGGAAUAGCUCCUGUCAAAUUGUUGUGUGAUAAAUCCCUACAUAUGUUUUGUGCUUAGGGUCAUAAAAAAUGUCACAAAUAAUCCCAUUUAGCCCAUUAAUAUUUAGUGGUAGGCACCACUUACAAGUUCUCCAGUGAUGCCAUGUUCAUGAAUGAUAUGACUAAUCCACCUUUCAGUCCACUAGUAGACAGAUCUCUGCAAAACAACUCAUUUUAGUACAAGUCUAUUAACUUAGCCGUAGUAUUGAGCUAACAUGUUUCUUUAAGAUUAUUUAAGUAUCUUUCUGUGGUUCUUUACACUAAAUUGCAUAUGUUUUCAAGCUUUCAACUAAAUUAACUGUGUUUUCAAGAUAAUAGCUAGCAAGACACGUGACAAGUUUUUCUUACCAUAUAAAAAUGCAAUAUACUUCAAAGGUUAAAAAUAUGAAUUGUGAUGUUUAUGUUCCAAAAUGUAUAUGGUACAAGUCCUGGUUAUGUUCUUACACUGCAACAAUCCUUGGAUUCUGGUUUCUCUUAGAGUAGUCGCAAGUCAAACCUUCCCAGGAAUAUUCUCUUGGGGAGCAUGGAUCUCCAUUCCAGUUUAUCCGCGCCAAAUUGUAGUGUUUCUUGACUUCUUUCAUGUAAUUGACUACAACACCGAAAAAAACAAUGGAAAUAAAUAUGAACAGAAUAAAGAAUGCUGUAUAUGUUGGGUAUGGGCCCUCAUAUGUAUUAAAAAGAAUGUAAACAUUAACUUAACUAGUUGCAAAGUUAUUUCAUAUGCAAGUUUUAUCUGUUUAAUAGAAGUGAAUAAAUUGUAUUAAUCUAUUUAUCUACUACGGUCUUGGCCAUGGCUCAUUGGUAAUUGAACUUUAGAAGGUUGCUUACUAAGGAGUUACUACUGAAUCAGCUGGUUGAUACACUUGUUUCUAUUACCAUAAUGUGGAUACUGACAAUGUCAAAUGGAGUUGAGGAUCUUCGGGAGUCUACACAGUGAGAUCUUGGUAAUUAAGAAUUGUUUAAAUGCAGGGAGCUGGAGGUGCUGUUCCACCAACUGAAUAAACUGCAUGAUGAUCAUGUGAAUCUGCCACAUAUACAUGACAAAAGUGUAAUGCACAUGCAGUAUAUACAUUAAUCUUACCAUCGUCGGCGUCAGUGGUGAGGUUAUCCAUCCGCACCAGCGAGUACACCUCGAACGCAUUGAUGAGCGGCGGGAGCCUUGAGCUGCGUGUCUUGUUCAGCAGGAAGGUUGCAGUAGGGUUGUGCAAGAACUGCCCGUUCUCGUGCAUGCUGUCCGCCUGGAAUCUUGACGGCGAGAAGUCUGGAAACAGCAAGUCAUUGUCGCUGUAGAUGUCGAACCUCCUGUUCUGGUUGCUGAUGUUGAUCUCGGCAAAGUGGAAGAUCGGGAGAAGCUGCAGGUUCUUGGCGUCCAGGUUGGGACCCACUGCCACAUUGAUCUCGAAGAAGGAGUAGUUUGUGUCUAGGGUGCUGGCCUGCUGGAGGAUGCCCUCUGGUACCUGGAAGGUGUUGUCGCCGGGUAGCCUCCUCACUGGACUGCUAGUGUUUAGAGUCAUCCAGGGGUAGGUGUUAUAGGAGAAAGACCAGCCCUCCCAGAACCGGUCGUAAGGGUCCAAUGGAUAUCUUCACCGCACACAAAGACAAGGAGAAAACAGGUAAAUAGCUAGCCAAUAAACUUUUUUUUUUAACUUGAAGGCAAUAGCUGUGACAACUCGCCAGCCAAACUUCUUGUCACCUUGGGAUGACAUUAGUUUUUGUUAGAAGCAAUUGCAAGAUUCAGGAAACAGAUUAAGGAGCAAACACUUCAAAUGUUCCGUGCUAGCCAACUUCAAAACCGUUGUCAGGCACAAUUAAGAUCAAAUCCAAAAUUAUUAUGGAUGUCAGCCUUGUCUCACCUUGUGAUGAAGUCAGUGGCUUGACCAAAUCUGAUCCGGCGAAAGUAGCUGAUUGACACCGAAGAAUUCACAAAAGGGUACAUUGAAUCUUGCAGUGGCCUCAGCUCCAACGCAGACACGAAUGGAGUCCCUGUACCGAAGUUUAUCAGACAGACCGACACCGAGCCGCCCGGAGCAACGGUGAGCACCUCCUUCCAUAUUGUGCUUGAUGGAUCCCAACUUGUCAAGUUUACCGCCUCCCAGAAAUUGGCGCCGAUAUGGAGCCCAAAUAAAAAUGGUGACCCGUCCAUGGUCCGGUUCAACCCGUCGUAGUCGCCGUAAGUAAACAAGGCCCUCACCAGCUUUUUACCAGGGGUGGAUGGCAGUGUGUAGCAAUUCCUUGAGCCGUUGGGGAAGCUCCUCAAGGUUUUUUGGCUCUCAUAUGGGGCACCAGCCAUGUACACUGCUGCUAUUUGGUGGGUCAAACCGCCCUCGACGAAUCCAACGUCGGACUGGUGCUGUAUUCCUCGUAUGCUGCUGUCGGUGUAGGGAGUAGUGUUUCUGUUUCCACAGUCGAGGCUUAUGAACCCUGCAUAACGGAGAAUAUGUGUCGGUUUCUUGUGUUUCAGGUUUAAGAUAUGCUGAAAGACCAUAUAUAACCUGUCCAUUUAUAGAUAUCUAAUAGCAAAAGUAUGAGUAUUAAGAUCUCAGUGAAUUGAAAUUUCUUAAGUUGCACUGAAGUAAACUGAGCUGUGCAUGCAGAUGGAGCAGAGGUCAAAGAGGACAAGAGGUGCAUGGAUCUAUCUAGAAGGUAAAAGCCAGGACGACACGGAUUUCAUUACCAGAGGUAGAAGGAGGCUGG
Molecule: long non-coding RNA, 6667 nt
Filed under: Triticum aestivum (bread wheat)
Lineage: Eukaryota; Viridiplantae; Streptophyta; Magnoliopsida; Poales; Poaceae
Description: long non-coding RNA (TAES_LNC000491)
Source: RNAcentral